UUCGACCUCCUAUUUCCGAUCCUACCCUCCGUUCGUCUCUUUCUUCUCUCACGUCUCUCACUGUGUGGCUGUGUGUAUGUGGUCUAUAUGUGUCGUGUCUUCUGUGUGUGAUGUUUAGAGUGAGGAAGAUGGUCAAUCUCUGUAGUGAGUGGGAGUGAGUAUGUGAUUGAAUAUUGUUGUCUGUUGUGUAUUAUGGGUAUGAAUAUGGUGAGGUAUAUGUGAAUUCCCCUAAAAAUGGAAGAGAGUGAUGGUGUAUGUGUGU
This 262-nucleotide long non-coding RNA is filed under the name Capsicum annuum. Its description in RNAcentral is "long non-coding RNA (CANN_LNC016556)". Lineage: Eukaryota; Viridiplantae; Streptophyta; Magnoliopsida; Solanales; Solanaceae. The record is from RNAcentral.